This 102-nucleotide microRNA precursor is filed under the name Marmota monax (woodchuck). Lineage: Eukaryota; Metazoa; Chordata; Mammalia; Rodentia; Sciuridae. The record is from RNAcentral.
AGUGGGAUAACUGGGUCAAAUGGUGGCUCCAUCUAAGUGUUCUGAGGAAUCUUCAUACUGUUUUCCACAGUGAGUGCACCAGUUUUCAGUCCCACCAGCAAU